CUACGUGCCAGCAGCCGCGGUAAUACGUAGGGGGCAAGCGUUAUCCGGAUUUACUGGGUGUAAAGGGAGCGCAGACGGUUGCGCAAGUCUGAAGUGAAAUCCCGAGGCUUAACCACGGGACUGCUUUGGAAACUGUGCGACUUGAGUAUCGGAGGGGCAGGCGGAAUUCCUAGUGUAGCGGUGGAAUGCAUAGAUAUCACGCAGAACUCCGAUUGCGAAGGCAGCUUACUAAGGUACAACUGACGCUGAAGCACGAAAGCGUGGGUAUCAAACAGGAUUAGAUACCCUGGUAGUCCACGCAGUAAACGAUGAUAACUGGGCGUAUGCGAUAUACAGUAUGCUCCUAAGCGAAAGCGUUAAGUUAUCCACCUGGGGAGUACGCCGGCAACGGUGAAACUCAAAGGAAUUGACGGGGGCCCGCACAAGCGGAGGAACAUGUGGUUUAAUUCGAUGAUACGCGAGGAACCUUACCCGGGAUUGAA
RNAcentral lists this ribosomal RNA (482 nucleotides) under uncultured bacterium. RNAcentral describes it as "bacterial SSU rRNA". It matches the Rfam family "Bacterial small subunit ribosomal RNA", at positions 501 to 985 of the family's 1533-position model. The record is from RNAcentral.